This is a non-coding RNA of Vicia faba (fava bean), 219 nucleotides long. NCBI's taxonomy places the organism in Eukaryota, Viridiplantae, Streptophyta, Magnoliopsida, Fabales, Fabaceae. The record is from the annotation of a GenBank genome assembly.
AUGAGGUUGAUGGUGGCUUCUGCAGCUUGGAAAUGCGGAAGUGUUUGUAUUUGCAAACCGGUACGAGAUGGUGUCAUAUAUCCAAAUCAGAAGACUUCCGGAAAAGAGGUGAAUGAGAGCAAUGCCAUGGUGGAUAGCCAAUUUAUGAGCAUCGAGAUCAAAGCUUCCAGUCCUAGUUUCUGCGAGGAACUGCCUCAGGAUGUGGUAUCACUGUGGUGA